This 515-nucleotide ribosomal RNA is filed under the name uncultured bacterium. RNAcentral describes it as "partial 16S ribosomal RNA". It matches the Rfam family "Bacterial small subunit ribosomal RNA", at positions 28 to 523 of the family's 1533-position model. The record is from RNAcentral.
GAUGAACGCUGGCGGCGUGCCUAAUACAUGCAAGUCGAGCGAAUGGAUUAAGAGCUUGCUCUUAUGAAGUUAGCGGCGGACGGGUGAGUAACACGUGGGCAACCUGCCCAUAAGACUAGGAUAACUCCGGGAAACCGGGGCUAAUACCGGAUAACAUUUUGAACCGCAUGGUUCGAAAUUGAAAGGCGGCUUCGGCUGUCACUUAUGGAUGGACCCGCGUCGCAUUAGCUAGUUGGUGAGGUAACGGCUCACCAAGGCAACGAUGCGUAGCCGACCUGAGAGGGUGAUCGGCCACACUGGGACUGAGACACGGCCCAGACUCCUACGGGAGGCAGCAGUAGGGAAUCUUCCGCAAUGGACGAAAGUCUGACGGAGCAACGCCGCGUGAGUGAUGAAGGCUUUCGGGUCGUAAAACUCUAUUGUUAGGGAAGAACAAGUGCUAGUUGAAUAAGCUGGCACCUUGACGGUACCUAACCAGAAAGCCACGGCUAACUACGUGCCAGCCGCCGCGGUAA